AUACUUACCUGGCAGGGGAGAUACCAUGAUCACGAAGGUGGUUUUCCCAGGACGAGGCUUAUCCAUUGCACUCCGGAUGUGCUGACCCCUGCGAUUUCCCCAAAUGUGGGAAACUCGACUGCAUAAUUUGUGGUAAUGGGGGACUGCGUUCGCGCUUUCCCCUG
Small nuclear RNA from Cervus hanglu yarkandensis (Yarkand deer), 164 nucleotides. Its record names the gene U1. It matches the Rfam family "U1 spliceosomal RNA". From Rfam's summary of the family: U1 is a small nuclear RNA (snRNA) component of the spliceosome (involved in pre-mRNA splicing). Its 5' end forms complementary base pairs with the 5' splice junction, thus defining the 5' donor site of an intron. The record is from Ensembl. NCBI's taxonomy places the organism in Eukaryota, Metazoa, Chordata, Mammalia, Artiodactyla, Cervidae.